This 85-nucleotide transfer RNA is filed under the name Hydnum rufescens UP504. It matches the Rfam family "tRNA". From Rfam's summary of the family: Transfer RNA (tRNA) molecules are approximately 80 nucleotides in length. Their secondary structure includes four short double-helical elements and three loops (D, anti-codon, and T loops). The record is from Rfam by way of RNAcentral. Lineage: Eukaryota; Fungi; Basidiomycota; Agaricomycetes; Cantharellales; Hydnaceae.
GGUUUCCUGGCCCAAUGGUAAGGCGUCUGACUACGAUCUUAUGGAUUGAAUCAGGAGUUUGUCGGUUCGAGUCCGGCGGAGAUCA